Long non-coding RNA from Sphaerodactylus townsendi, 376 nucleotides. RefSeq lists it as uncharacterized. Lineage: Eukaryota; Metazoa; Chordata; Lepidosauria; Squamata; Sphaerodactylidae. The record is from RefSeq and is a predicted model, not a curated record. The transcript has 2 exons.
AUCGACCCUUGGCACGCAUUGAGUGUCCUCAAGAACCAGUCCCGCUCCGAACUGGCACUUUUGAUCAACGGCACGGCCCACUGUGCCAACAUGAUGCCCUCCAGACCCACGGAUCCACUGCCCCUGGUCCAGGCCAGGAAGCGGAUCAGCGCUCAGGUUGGUGAAUGGCUGGAAUUGGCACAAAAGAUAACCGGAGGCCGCUGAGUGACCCAUCCGUACGACCGGAGUCUCUCUCUAGAAGAAAUCUACUUGGACUUGCCCCACCUAAGGGAGCAUCUUUGCAUCAUCUGAUUCCUCAGCCUUAGAGACUGCAGUUUUUAUUGCUUUUAUUUUUUUAAAAAAAAACCCUUUCAAAAUACAGAUUUUUUAAACAGUU